Molecule: long non-coding RNA, 1684 nt
Organism: Wyeomyia smithii (pitcher-plant mosquito)
Lineage: Eukaryota; Metazoa; Arthropoda; Insecta; Diptera; Culicidae
Exons: 3
Source: RefSeq, a predicted model, not a curated record
CAUAAAAAUAAAAACAUCAUUCACUUACACCAUUUUGAUUUUACUCGUGAUCUGUUUCGUGUGCUGCUGAAAAAUUUUAAUACUUUCUAUCGGAUUUUGUUGUUAGAAUAGGAAAUAAAAUCUGAAAUGUUUUCCGGGUGGAGUUGCGUAUUAUUGUGCCACCCAAAUGGAAAAGAGAUGUCUGCCGGAUAGUGAUCCGAUAAGUGAACGGAGUUUCGAAUUGGAUGUAAGGAAGUCGAGAAAUCAAAAAAGGUGCAAUGAUCACCAGUAUGCCAAGCAACCGGAAUCGUCAUUUGUGCACACCGGAGCUAAUGUGAUGUAUACAACCUUCCCCUUUGGAUCAACAUCAAAUUCGGGCAUUGUAAAACGGUUUCCGUUUUCCGACAUUUCCAGUGAGUAUUUCCUUGCUGCACACUCCGAUGAGCUUCUGAUAUUUAAGCAGAAAAACUUUCCGGUACUUUGUGAUCUUAUAAAAUUUUUUAGAAAAUCGUGGCAACCUGUUGAGGGGGUGAAUACAAAUAUUUUUAAUUUCAUGAAGUCUAGUGAUAAGGCCUGCAUCUAGUAUAAUGGCUAGUUUAUUUUAUCCCCAAAAAUCGCGGGCUGCUGCUGCUAUACCUAUAGCUCUCCUGUUUUGUGUAGAUGGAAACCACUGGAAUAUUGACUGAUUUGAUUGUGUAUGUUCGGAAAGUCCAAGAAGAAGGCCGGAAAAAUAACACGUGAGCACAGAAGGAAAGUGCAGUGCAUCGUUCUGGAUUUGCAGUCCCAUGAUCUAUUCAUCUUUUUCUAUUUAAGAUUUAUUUUAUACAUUGUUUUUCAAGGAAGCAAAACUCUUAAUUUGUUAGGUUGUCGUGUGCGAUGUUGGUCCAAGAAGGACAAGCUCGUAUUAUUGGUGGGUUUUGAUGCAUUAAAGAAGUGGUGCAUUCCAGAUCAUCACACCCAAAAAUGCUAAUAAUCGUCAGCGAUUAGGUUAGUGGAAAACAUAAGAGACGACAGCUAAUGUUGUUUGGUACACUUAUUGAACUAAAUUCUUCAUAAAAAUAGAAAUAACUUUCCUUUUUUACUUUAUUUCUUAAGCACAUUCCUUAAUAUGAAAACGCCGUCUUUAAAUGCAGGAUGCCGUCAAUGAUUUUGCAAUAAUCAUUACCCAUUCGUUCGUUCUAAACAAAAUAUGAGUCCUAUGCGUUCGCUUGAUGUUUUACUCGACGUAAGUUAAUUUCAACGACCAAUUUUUUGUAAACUAAUUUAUUUACACAAGUAGGUGUGGAAGUUAAUGAUCUACCUUUCAUGGAAAAAAUAAAAUCAUUCGAACAGUUCUGAAUGGUAUUAUAACAAAAUUCUUUGUAGUAGAUUGCAGAAAAUUCACGGAUAAUUCGAGGGUGCUUAGCAUAAAGAAUUUCUGAAACAUGUUAGGUAUAAAUAUAAUUGUAUUCACACAAUACAGCAGUUCUAUCUUUAAACACAGUGCAUUAAUUGAAAAAAACCUUACUUAGUAGCGUUAGGCAAAAUACCGAUAAAGACCGUUUGUGUUAAAUCCAAAUUUCACUAAACAUUAUCGGUAGAUUCCUUCUUAAGUUCAUUAUUCAGUUGGUGGCCGUCUUCGGCUCGUGUUGUUUGCAUCUCCUUGCUGUACGUUCGCCCGUGCUUCGAGAAACAUACACAAUAUUUAAACUUUUCAGUACAGUGA